CCUGCAUUGACUUGAACUUACACAUUCUGAUAAAUUUGCUCCAGGUAUUAUUCAAAUUGGUGAAUUUGGAGAAACACAAUGAAUUUUAAAAUAAUCUCAUGUAAUGAAAGCAGGACGAGAAAUUAGGCCUUCAGGUUAUUUUUUAAUCUGUUCAAACAUUUAAUAUAUUUCAUAAUUCGCUUCUGGGCUUUGUGUGUUAAAUAUGGAUGUUUAGUUUGUGAGUUUUGUUAGUCACAAAUUCAUAAAACAAGCUGUUAUAUUGAAGUAUUUAUCUUAUUUAAUCAUUCAGUGACUAAA
Molecule: long non-coding RNA, 297 nt
Organism: Carassius carassius (crucian carp)
Lineage: Eukaryota; Metazoa; Chordata; Actinopteri; Cypriniformes; Cyprinidae
Exons: 2
Source: RefSeq, a predicted model, not a curated record